UUCCGGUUGAUCCUGCCGGACCUUACUGCUAUCGGGGUGGGACUAAGACAUGCGAGUCGAGCGUCUCUAGCUAUGUUGAGACGCGGCAGACGGCUCAGUAACACGUGGCUAACCUACCCUCAGGACAAGGAUAAACCCGGGAAACUGGGGCUAAUACUUGAUAGGCGAAGAUGCCUGGAAUGGUUUUUCACCUAAAGGGCUUUAGAAACAUGCUUCUAAAGUCGCCUGAGGAUGGGGCCGCGUCCGAUCAGGUUGUUGGUGAGGUAACGGCUCACCAAGCCUAUAACCGGUACGGGCCGUGAGAGCGGUAGCCCGGAGAUGGGUACUGAGACAAGGACCCAGGCCCUACGGGGCGCAGCAGUCGCGAAAACUCCGCAAUGCACGAAAGUGUGACGGGGCUACCCCGAGUGCCAUCCGCUGAGGAUGGCUUUUCUUUGGUAUAACUAGCCAGGGGAAUAAGGAGAGGGCAAGACUGGUGUCAGCCGGCGCGGUAAUACCAGCUCUCCGAGUGGUAGGGAUGAUUAUUGGGCUUAAAGCGUCCGUAGCCGGCUUAGCAAGUCUCCUGUUAAACUCAGCGACCUAAUCGUUGAAUCGCGGGAGAUACUACUAGGCUAGGAGGCGGGAGAGGUCGACGGUACUUCUGGGGUAGGGGUGAAAUCCUAUAAUCCCGGGAGGACCACCAGCGGCGAAAGCUGUCGACUAGAACGCGCUCGACGGUGAGGGACGAAAGCUGGGGGAGCGAACCGGAUUAGAUACCCGGGUAGUCCCAGCCGUAAACGAUGCGGGCUAGGUGUUGGGAUGGCUACGUGCCAUUUCAGUGCCGCAGGAAGCCAUUAAGCCCGCCGCCUGGGGAGUACGGCCGCAAGGCUGAAACUUAAAGGAAUUGGCGGGGGAGCACCACAAGGCGUGAAGCUUGCG
RNAcentral lists this ribosomal RNA (918 nucleotides) under uncultured archaeon. RNAcentral's name for it is "bacterial SSU rRNA". It matches the Rfam family "Archaeal small subunit ribosomal RNA", at positions 1 to 899 of the family's 1478-position model. The record is from RNAcentral.